AACGUAGGCGGUCCGGUAAGUCGGAUGUGAAAGCCCUCGGCUUAACCGAGGAAGUGCAUUCGAAACUGUCGGACUUGAGUAUGGUAGAGGGUCGCGGAAUUCCCGGUGUAGAGGUGAAAUUCGUAGAUAUCGGGAGGAACACCAGUGGCGAAGGCGGCGACCUGGGCCAAUACUGACGCUGAGGUUCGAAAGCGUGAGGAGCAAACA
This 207-nucleotide ribosomal RNA is filed under the name uncultured delta proteobacterium. Its description in RNAcentral is "partial 16S ribosomal RNA". It matches the Rfam family "Bacterial small subunit ribosomal RNA", at positions 568 to 774 of the family's 1533-position model. The record is from RNAcentral. Lineage: Bacteria; Deltaproteobacteria.